This 253-nucleotide ribosomal RNA is filed under the name uncultured bacterium. Its description in RNAcentral is "partial 16S ribosomal RNA". It matches the Rfam family "Bacterial small subunit ribosomal RNA", at positions 524 to 776 of the family's 1533-position model. The record is from RNAcentral.
GACAGAGGGUGCAAACGUUGUUCGGAUUUACUGGGCGUAAAGCGCGUGUAGGCGGCUUCGCAAGUUGGAUGUGAAAUCCCACGGCUCACCCGUGGAACUGCUGGGCAUACUGGCGAUCUUGGGCCAACUAGGGGCAGCCGGAACAAGCGGUGGAGCGGUGAAAUGCGUAGAUAUCGCUUGGAACGCCAAAGGUGAAAACAGGCUGCUGGGGUUGUGCCGACGCUGAGACACGAAAGCCAGGGGAGCAAACGGG